GUUCACUUCCCACGUCCAGGGCCGAGUGUCUGCGCUACCCACUUUUCCUUCUUUUCAGAACAGCACCUUCUUACAAAACUGAUCGGAGCGUUGCGAAACUCAAUCAAGAAUUCAAAGUUUUGGAUCAGAAAACUCAAUACUUAAUGAAACACCCAGGGGAAGAAGUAUUAGGAUAGGAUUGGCCUGUUUUAAUCUGCUGGGUCUGAAGUAUUUUGCUCUCUAGUGUUUCUUUCUGGCAAAGAAGCCAGGCUUCAAUGGUGGUAGGAAACAUUCAUACCUUGAAGAAGCCAAUUUGUAUUACUUCAAUUUAAACAAUCUUCAGUAUGAAAGUAUCAUGAAACAUGUCAAUGCUCAGAAUUAACAGAGGACCGGGACAGAGUUCUUGCAUUUUUUUAGUGCUACAAACCACAUUGGCAGUUUGGUGAAGCCAUGAACUCUUCUCAGAAUAAUGUUUUUAAAUGUAUAAAUAAAACUUACAGUAUUA
This is a long non-coding RNA of Eptesicus fuscus (big brown bat), 484 nucleotides long. RefSeq lists it as uncharacterized. The transcript has 3 exons. The record is from RefSeq and is a predicted model, not a curated record. Lineage: Eukaryota; Metazoa; Chordata; Mammalia; Chiroptera; Vespertilionidae.